CAGUAGCCGCGGUAAUACGAAGGGUGCAAGCGUUAAUCGGAAUUACUGGGCGUAAGGCGUGCGUAGGCGGUGAGUUAAGUCUGCUGUGAAAUCCCCGGGCUCAACCUGGGAAUUGCAGUGGAUACUGGGUCACUAGAGUGUGGUAGAGGAUAGUGGAAUUUCCGGUGUAGCAGUGAGAUGCGUAGAGAUCGGAAGGAACAUCUGUGGCGAAGGCGACUAUCUGGGCCAACACUGACACUGAGGCACGAAAGCGUGGGGAGCAAACAGGAUUAGAUACCCCUGUAGUCCCUGUCUCUUAUAC
Molecule: ribosomal RNA, 301 nt
Filed under: uncultured bacterium
Lineage: Bacteria
Description: partial 16S ribosomal RNA
Rfam family: Bacterial small subunit ribosomal RNA
Source: RNAcentral